GGAUGUGAGGGCGAUCUGGCUGCGACAUCUGUCACCCCAUGAUCACCAGGGUUGAUAUGGCUGAUCUGGCAGGCUAGGUGGGUGUCCCCUUCCUCCCUCACCGCUCCAUGUGUGUCCCUCCCGAAGCUGCGUGCUCGGUCAAAGAGGACGACCUUCCCCGCCAGAGGAGGACAGGUCUUCCGUCAAGGGUAUACGAGUAGCUGCGCUCCCCUGUUAGAACCUCCAAACAAGCUCUUAAGGUAUGUUUUAUUAGUUUGACAAUGUCUGGACUUUUAAUCUGGAGUUCACUUUAUGACUCAGUAUUGAGCAUUUUAAAGGU
This 319-nucleotide small nuclear RNA is filed under the name Oryctolagus cuniculus (rabbit). RNAcentral's name for it is "7SK RNA". It matches the Rfam family "7SK RNA". From Rfam's summary of the family: 7SK was discovered as an abundant small nuclear RNA in the mid-70s but a possible function has only recently been suggested. Lineage: Eukaryota; Metazoa; Chordata; Mammalia; Lagomorpha; Leporidae. The record is from Rfam by way of RNAcentral.